Molecule: ribosomal RNA, 773 nt
Filed under: uncultured bacterium
Lineage: Bacteria
Description: bacterial SSU rRNA
Rfam family: Bacterial small subunit ribosomal RNA
Source: RNAcentral
AGAGUUUGAUCCUGGCUCAGAACAAACGCUGGCGGCGUGCCUAAUACAUGCAAGUCGAUCGGGGAAAGGCUUCGGCCAAGUACUAGAGGCGCACGGGUGAGUAACACGUAGGUAAUCUGCCCUCGAGUGGGGAAUAACUAAUCGAAAGAUUAGCUAAUACCGCAUAAGACCACAGGAGCUGAGGCUCUAGAGGUUAAAGGAGCAAUUCGCUUGAGGAUGAGCCUGCGUCGGAUUAGCUAGUUGGUGAGGUAACGGCUCACCAAGGCAAUGAUCCGUAGCUGGUCUGAGAGGAUGAUCAGCCACACUGGAACUGAGACACGGUCCAGACUCCUACGGGAGGCAGCAGUAGGGAAUAUUGCGCAAUGGGGGAAACCCUGACGCAGCGACGCCGCGUGAGUGAUGAAGGCCUUCGGGUCGUAAAGCUCUGUUGCAAGGGAAUAAAAAAAUGAAUGUACCUUGUGAGGAAGGAUCGGCUAACUUCGUGCCAGCAGCCGCGGUAAGACGAGGGAUCCUAGCGUUGUUCGGAAUCAUUGGGCGUAAAGCGGGUGUAGGUGGCUUGGUAAGUCGGGUGUGAAAGCCCAGGGCUCAACCCUGGAAGUGCAUUCGAUACUGCUGAGCUUGAGUGUUGGAGAGGUCACUGGAAUACCUGGUGUAGUGGUGAAAUACGUAGAUAUCAGGUGGAACACCGGAGGCGAAGGCGGGUGACUGGCCAAACACUGACACUGAGACCCGAAAGUGUGGGGAUCAAACAGGAUUAGAUACCCUAGUAGUCC